UUCAAUUUCAUUAUCAUCUACGGCCAUGCCCAAUCCCAUCUGAUCUCAGAAGCUAAGCAGGGUCGGGCCUGGUUAGUACUUGGAUGGGAGACCACCUAGGAAGGCCUGGUGCUGUAGGCA
This 120-nucleotide ribosomal RNA is filed under the name Pteropus alecto (black flying fox). The record is from RNAcentral. Lineage: Eukaryota; Metazoa; Chordata; Mammalia; Chiroptera; Pteropodidae.